UCCCCUGUUUUCAAUUGAAGCCCUAAUUUUCAUUUUUGUUAAUAGGGGGUGUUUCUUUUCAUUUUCUUGGGCUAGGGGAUUAAAAACUAUGACACAUCAUCUUCUAUUCUUUUGUGUAAAUUUGUUUCGCCAAUUUUCCUUUUUCGGUCUUUUCUAUGUAUGUAAAUUGGCUUCCCUGUUUCAGUUGAAGCCCUUAAUUUCCAGUUUUGUUAAUAGGGAGUGUUUCUACAAUGCAGGGCUGACAAGCUUCGAACAAAAAAGGCAUCAGGAAAAAAAAAAAAGAGAAAAAAAGAAGCAAUGACGGGGCUUAACUCUUCAAUGACUUCUGGGAAGACAUAGGGUCAAUUAGGGACCAUCAUAUCCUUAUUUGGGGCAAACCUUGCCCUCGCCAAACAUCUGCAAAUAUUGCUACCAGGCUUUUGGGUUGCAGCAUGCAGGACUUGAGAUGUCAAGAUGUCAAACAACAACGCUGUCCCAACUGAGAGUGCAGGCCCAAACAAGGCCAAAAGCCAAUAUCGUGUUGU
Long non-coding RNA from Tripterygium wilfordii, 524 nucleotides. RefSeq lists it as uncharacterized. NCBI's taxonomy places the organism in Eukaryota, Viridiplantae, Streptophyta, Magnoliopsida, Celastrales, Celastraceae. The record is from RefSeq and is a predicted model, not a curated record. The transcript is spliced from 3 exons.